This 460-nucleotide ribosomal RNA is filed under the name uncultured bacterium. Its description in RNAcentral is "partial 16S ribosomal RNA". It matches the Rfam family "Bacterial small subunit ribosomal RNA", at positions 338 to 795 of the family's 1533-position model. The record is from RNAcentral.
CCUACGGGGGGCAGCAGUGAGGAAUAUUGGUCAAUGGACGAGAGUCUGAACCAGCCAAGUAGCGUGAAGGAUGACUGCCCUAUGGGUUGUAAACUUCUUUUAUAUGGGAAUAAAAUGUUCCACGUGUGGGAUUUUGUAUGUACCAUAUGAAUAAGGAUCGGCUAACUCCGUGCCAGCAGCCGCGGUAAUACGGAGGAUCCGAGCGUUAUCCGGAUUUAUUGGGUUUAAAGGGAGCGUAGGUGGAUUGUUAAGUCAGUUGUGAAAGUUUGCGGCUCAACCGUAAAAUUGCAGUUGAAACUGGCAGUCUUGAGUACAGUAGAGGUGGUCGGAAUUCGUGGUGUAGCGGUGAAAUGCUUAGAUAUCACGAAGAACUCCGAUUGCGAAGGCAGUUCACUGGACUGCAACUGACACUGAGGCUCGAAAGUGUGGGUAUCAAACAGGAUUAGAUACCCCUGUAGUC